UACGUAGGGCGCGAGCGUUGUCCGGAAUUAUUGGGCGUAAAGAGCUCGUAGGUGGCUUGUUGCGUCUGCCGUGAAAGCCCGUGGCUUAACUACGGGUCUGCGGUGGAUACGGGCAGGCUAGAGGCUGGUAGGGGCAAGCGGAAUUCCUGGUGUAGCGGUGAAAUGCGCAGAUAUCAGGAGGAACACCGGUGGCGAAGGCGGCUUGCUGGGCCAGUUCUGACGCUGAGGAGCGAAAGCGUGGGGAGCGAACCGG
RNAcentral lists this ribosomal RNA (253 nucleotides) under uncultured bacterium. RNAcentral's name for it is "partial 16S ribosomal RNA". It matches the Rfam family "Bacterial small subunit ribosomal RNA", at positions 524 to 776 of the family's 1533-position model. The record is from RNAcentral.